UCUUUAAUUUUAUUUCUCUCAUAGUGAAAAGCUUGUACACCCCAUAGAGGUGGGCUUAAGACCAAUCCAUGUAUUUUUAUUAUGUUUGUUUAUUAUUUUUUCUUCUUCUUUUUCUCGUAUAAUGUUAACAUCUGCUUCUCGGAGGUUGUUGUGAUCUUGGGCGGAUGAUCCGUAUUCCAUAAUUAAGGGAUCUACCCCAAUACCCAUUAACACUGAGCUAGUAGUAGUAGUUCCUCCUCCACC
Molecule: long non-coding RNA, 243 nt
Filed under: Elaeis guineensis (African oil palm)
Lineage: Eukaryota; Viridiplantae; Streptophyta; Magnoliopsida; Arecales; Arecaceae
Description: long non-coding RNA (EGUI_LNC034001)
Source: RNAcentral